UGCACUAGUUAGAUUAGGUACUUAUGUAACAGUGUGGUACUGUUAUACUGAGAGCGCACCAGAUUUCAUAUCUGUGGACCCGCACUAUCUUGAUAUAGAAUUGAUUAUUGAUUUAUUCAAAGUUCGUAAAUUAUUCGUAUGGAUUCCAUACGAGGAAGUGAUUAGUACAUCAAUCUUAGAAGCUUAUGAUGCGGUUGUGGAAAGGACGGCUUUAACGGAUUGCUUGGAUAGAAAGUUGAGAGAAGAGGAAUUGUCGGAUAAAUUCGAAUUCUGGGGGAAAUGCUCUGAUGGUGAUCAUACCAUAGAUUCUGUAGAGGAGAAUGCCACUAUAGAAUAUGCUAGCAGUAAAGAAGGUAGUGCCUGUAAAGAGGGGGUGGAUAGUAGCUGUAAAGAAGAAGGUGGUGGCUGUGAAGAAGAAGGUAGUGGGAGUGAAGAAGAUAGUGACGAUAGUGACAAUCCUAGAUACCUGGCAUUCGGUGUGGUUGUCCUUGUAGGUGUGUUAUUAU
Molecule: unclassified non-coding RNA, 506 nt
Filed under: Zea mays
Lineage: Eukaryota; Viridiplantae; Streptophyta; Magnoliopsida; Poales; Poaceae
Description: misc RNA Zm00001eb438990
Source: RNAcentral